Molecule: ribosomal RNA, 253 nt
Filed under: uncultured bacterium
Lineage: Bacteria
Description: partial 16S ribosomal RNA
Rfam family: Bacterial small subunit ribosomal RNA
Source: RNAcentral
CACGUAGGGGACGAGCGUUGUCCGGAUUCAUUGGGCGUAAAGCGCGCGUAGGCGGCUCGGAAAGUCGGGCGUGAAAUCUCGGAGCUUAACUCCGAAACUGCAUUCGAUACUGCCGUGCUUGAGGACUGGAGAGGAGACUGGAAUUUACGGUGUAGCGGUGAAAUGCGUAGAUAUCGUAAGGAAGACCAGUGGCGAAGGCGGGUCUCUGGACAGUUCCUGACGCUGAGGCACGAAGGUCAGGGGAGCAAACGGG